This 289-nucleotide unclassified non-coding RNA is filed under the name Hevea brasiliensis (rubber tree). Lineage: Eukaryota; Viridiplantae; Streptophyta; Magnoliopsida; Malpighiales; Euphorbiaceae. The record is from RNAcentral.
GAAUUUUAGGUUUAAGAAAGCCGAUUAUAUAUAUAUAUGCUUUUUAUAGAAGUUACAAUUAGAGCGCCAUUUCCAAACUGAAGUGUCAUUGUGAACUGAUUCUGAUGGAUUAAAAAUUAAAAAAUUUAUUGCAUCUCAGUUCAGGAUCAUUCUCAAGGUCUUUAUAGUUUGGUUUUGCCAAUAAAAUAUUUACGUAUGUAAGCGUAAGUGUGUGUAUAGGCAUAUAUAUGAACCUCCUAAAGCUAUUUUUCCUUUUAUUUUCUUAAGCCAGGGACAAUGCUGUAUUCCU